CCUACGGGAGGCAGCAGUGGGGAAUAUUGCACAAUGGGGGAAACCCUGAUGCAGCGACGCCGCGUGAGUGAUGAAGUAUUUCGGUAUGUAAAGCUCUAUCAUCAGGGAAGAUAAUGACUGUACCUGACUAAGAAGCUCCGGCUAAAUACGUGCCAGCAGCCGCGGGAAUACGUAUGGAGAAAGCGUUAUCCGGAUUUACUGGGUGUAAAGUGAGCGCAGACGGUGGGGCAAGUCUGAUGUGAAAGUCCGGGGCUCAACCCCGGGACUGCAUUGGAAAAUGUCCGGCUAGAGUGCAGGAGAGGUCAGUGGAAUUCCAAGUGUAGCAGUGGAAUGCGUAGAUAUUAGGAGGAACACCAGUGGCGAAGGCGGCUUACUGGACUGUAACUGACGUUGAGGCUCGAAAGCAUGGGGAGCAAACAGGAUUAGAUACCCUUGUAGUC
Molecule: ribosomal RNA, 440 nt
Filed under: uncultured bacterium
Lineage: Bacteria
Description: partial 16S ribosomal RNA
Rfam family: Bacterial small subunit ribosomal RNA
Source: RNAcentral